This 584-nucleotide unclassified non-coding RNA is filed under the name Acromyrmex echinatior (Panamanian leafcutter ant). RNAcentral's name for it is "uncharacterized LOC105153812, transcript variant X1". The record is from RNAcentral. Lineage: Eukaryota; Metazoa; Arthropoda; Insecta; Hymenoptera; Formicidae.
UCGGGCAAUGAAAUGAAGAGCACAUACGAAAAGGAGAAGGAAGGAUGCAGGAAACGCAAAAGCGUCGAGGGAAGGAUGGAAACGGACAUGGCGUUAUCAGAAUUUCCGGCGUUUACUGAUAAUAACGCGAACCAACCUAAUAGCCACGGACUAAGCGAACGCGUCACUUGACGACGGAGAAAAAUAAGAGAAUUCGUCUCGAGUUACUCAGUGAAAAAAAAAGAGAAGAAAAGCAAAACGGAGAAGGAGAGAACGAAGAAAGGUCGGCGUACGCGAGCAGCACAUCCGGCAGAAAUGCGACUGGGAAGCAAUCGGAUAUUGUAUGUAGGUAAGCAAGAAGCUGCUGAUGCCAUCCGAGUCCUACGAACUCUCUCAAAGCACAUCACAUAUGUAUAUGGAUGGGUCGAGUUGCGUUCUCGCGCCUUCGUGACGCCACCUUGACCCACAAAUAGUGGACUAUUAAUCGUCAGUUUAUUACUGUUUAUUACUGCGAGAAAUUACAAGCCAAAAGGAAAUAGUAGGCGAUGAUGCCAUUUUCUAUGCAACGGCACUAUAUUAUAAUUAUAAUUUCAUUGUAUGUAUAA